UCCUACGGGAGGCAGCAGUGGGGAAUCUUGCACAAUGGAGGAAACUCUGAUGCAGCGAUGCCGCGUGAGUGAAGAAGGCCCUUGGGUUGUAAAGCUCUUUUGUCAGGAAAGAUAAUGACUGUACCUGAAUAAUAAGGUCCGGCUAACUUCGUGCCAGCAGCCGCGGUAAUACGAAGGGACCUAGCGUAAUUCGGAAUUACUGGGCGUAAAGCGCGCGUAGGCGGUUAAGUAAGUUAAUUGUGAAAGCCCGAAGCUCAACUUCGGAAUUGCAAUUAAAACUACUUAGCUAGAGUUUAUCAGAGGAAAGCGGAAUACAUAGUGUAGAGGUGAAAUUCGUAGAUAUUAUGUAGAACACCAGUUGCGAAGGCGGCUUUCUGGGAUAACACUGACGCUGAGGUGCGAAAGUAUGGGUAGCGAAGAGGAUUAGAUACCCUCGUAGUCCAUACCGUAAACGAUGAUUGUUAGAUGUUGGAAAUUUAUUUUCAGUAUCACAGCUAACGCGUUAAACAAUCCGCCUGGGGAGUACGACCGCAAGGUUAAAACUCAAAUGAAUUGACGG
Molecule: ribosomal RNA, 559 nt
Filed under: uncultured bacterium
Lineage: Bacteria
Description: bacterial SSU rRNA
Rfam family: Bacterial small subunit ribosomal RNA
Source: RNAcentral